RNAcentral lists this ribosomal RNA (584 nucleotides) under uncultured bacterium. RNAcentral describes it as "partial 16S ribosomal RNA". It matches the Rfam family "Bacterial small subunit ribosomal RNA", at positions 355 to 1375 of the family's 1533-position model. The record is from RNAcentral.
UGGGGAAUUUUGGACAAUGGGCGAAAGCCUGAUCCAGCAAUGCCGCGUGUGUGAAGAAGGCCUUCGGGUUGUAAAGCACUUUUGUCCGGAAAGAAAUCCUUGGUUCUAAUACAGUCGGGGGAUGACGGUACCGGAAGAAUAAGCACCGGCUAACUACGUGCCAGCAGCCGCGGUAAUACGUAGGGUGCAAGCGUUAAUCGGAAUUACUGGGCGUAAAGCGUGCGCAGGCGGUUUGCUAAGACCGAUGUGAAAUCCCCGGGCUCAACCUGGGAACUGCAUUGGUGACUGGCAGGCUAGAGUAUGGCAGAGGGGGGUAGAAUUCCACGUGUAGCAGUGAAAUGCGUAGAGAUGUGGAGGAAUACCGAUGGCGAAGGCAGCCCCCUGGGCCAAUACUGACGCUCAUGCACGAAAGCGUGGGGAGCAAACAGGAUUAGAUACCCUGGUAGUCCACGCCCUAAACGAUGUCAACUAGUUGUUGGGGAUUCAUUCCUUAGUAACGUAGCUAACGCGUGAAGUUGACCGCCUGGGGAGUACGGUCGCAAGAUUAAAACUCAAAUGAAUUGACGGGGUCAUAGCUGUUUCCU